AUAAAAGAAAACCACAAAAGUCAAACCAAGAAGUGCACACUCAAUUGUGCUUUAAUCGCCUUUACGACUUCUCAUUGCUGGCAUUAGCAUUUAUCUUUCAUUUGGUAGAUAUAUCAAGAAGAUGGCGAGAUCCAAAAAGCCACGCAAAGACGUGAAGAAAAAGGCCCCAACAAGCGUAAGGGCGUAUAAUGGAAAGCAACAAACCGCUUAACCCCGCACAGCCGAGAAAAAUGUCCAACCUAAACGCAAAUCACACAGACUAAAGCGUCUUGCAAGUAGUAUAUCUCUUCUUCAUCUAUGGCUUAAAAACACUAUUAUGAAGCGACACCGCUACAAUCUUCGUGUAAAAUUCCAUACUACCAAGUUGCGUUAUUCCGUCAAUACAACGCCAACAACCGGAAAACUUCAGCGAUUCCAUUCACGUACUAGCCUUAACAAAGUCCGCCGUCGAAUUAACUUUGACGUUGAGGAAGAAUAAUAUAAAACAUAAAUUAAUGCCAAAUGUUAUAUAUCAUACAAACGAUUUCAUAUUGAUUCAUGACCUGUAACUCAUCAUAUACCUUUUGAAAUAUAUAUACAUAU
This is a long non-coding RNA of Teleopsis dalmanni, 582 nucleotides long. RefSeq lists it as uncharacterized. The transcript is spliced from 3 exons. Lineage: Eukaryota; Metazoa; Arthropoda; Insecta; Diptera; Diopsidae. The record is from RefSeq and is a predicted model, not a curated record.